RNAcentral lists this ribosomal RNA (483 nucleotides) under uncultured bacterium. Its description in RNAcentral is "partial 16S ribosomal RNA". It matches the Rfam family "Bacterial small subunit ribosomal RNA", at positions 30 to 506 of the family's 1533-position model. The record is from RNAcentral.
AUUGAACGCUGGCGGCAGGCCUAACACAUGCAAGUCGAGCGGAUGAAGGGAGCUUGCUCCUGGAUUCAGCGGCGGACGGGUGAGUAAUGACUAGGAAUCUGCCUGGUAGUGGGGGAUAACGUCCGGAAACGGGCGCUAAUACCGCAUACGUCCUGAGGGAGAAAGUGGGGGAUCUUCGGACCUCACGCUAUCAGAUGAGCCUAGGUCGGAUUAGCUAGUUGGUGGGGUAAAGGCCUACCAAGGCGACGAUCCGUAACUGGUCUGAGAGGAUGAUCAGUCACACUGGAACUGAGACACGGUCCAGACUCCUACGGGAGGCAGCAGUGGGGAAUAUUGGACAAUGGGCGAAAGCCUGAUCCAGCCAUGCCGCGUGUGUGAAGAAGGUCUUCGGAUUGUAAAGCACUUUAAGUUGGGAGGAAGGGCAGUAAGUUAAUACCUUGCUGUUUUGACGUUACCAACAGAAUAAGCACCGGCUAACUUCGU